Molecule: long non-coding RNA, 193 nt
Organism: Dromiciops gliroides (monito del monte)
Lineage: Eukaryota; Metazoa; Chordata; Mammalia; Microbiotheria; Microbiotheriidae
Exons: 3
Source: RefSeq, a predicted model, not a curated record
GGGCAAUGAGGGUUAAUUGACUUGCCCAGGGUCACACUGCUAGCUAUAGGAUCCUUGAGGACAAGAAUUAUAUAACUUUCAGCUUAUUUGUCCUUCUCUGUUAAUAGGAUCUCUGUAUUUUUCAGAUAGUUAAGUUGGAUCACUUUUCCAGACCUGUGAGAGCCCUCUUCAGGGAUGAUCAGAGAACCUCAGG